CAGUCGCCGCGGUAAUACGAAGGGUGCAAGCGCUAAUCGGAAUUACUGGGCGUAAAGCGUGCGUAGGCGGUGAGUUAAGUCUGUUGUGAAAUCCCCGGGCUCAACCUGGGAAUGGCAAUGGAUACUGGCAAGCUAGAGUGUGUCAGAGGAUGGUGGAAUUCCCGGUGUAGCGGUGAAAUGCGUAGAGAUCGGGAGGAACAUCAGUGGCGAAGGCGGCCAUCUGGGACAACACUGACGCUGAGGCACGAAAGCGUGGGGAGCAAACAGGAUUAGAUACCCCGGUAGUCCCUGUCUCUUAUAC
RNAcentral lists this ribosomal RNA (301 nucleotides) under uncultured bacterium. RNAcentral's name for it is "partial 16S ribosomal RNA". It matches the Rfam family "Bacterial small subunit ribosomal RNA", at positions 509 to 807 of the family's 1533-position model. The record is from RNAcentral.